RNAcentral lists this ribosomal RNA (253 nucleotides) under uncultured bacterium. Its description in RNAcentral is "partial 16S ribosomal RNA". It matches the Rfam family "Bacterial small subunit ribosomal RNA", at positions 524 to 776 of the family's 1533-position model. The record is from RNAcentral.
UACGUAGGGGGCGAGCGUUGUCCGGAUUUAUUGGGCGUAAAGAGCGUGUAGGCGGCCAGGUAGGUCUGCUGUGAAAACUCGAGGCUCAACCUCGAGACGUCGGCGGAAACCAUCUGGCUAGAGUCCGGAAGAGGAGAGUGGAAUUCCCGGUGUAGCGGUGAAAUGCGUAGAUAUCGGGAGGAACAUCAGUGGCGAAGGCGGCCAUCUGGACUGACACUGACACUGAGACACGAAAGCGUGGGGAGCAAACAGG